This is a non-coding RNA of Cronobacter sp., 65 nucleotides long. Lineage: Bacteria; Pseudomonadati; Pseudomonadota; Gammaproteobacteria; Enterobacterales; Enterobacteriaceae. The record is from Rfam.
CGCAGGGAGCGACCAAACUAAAAAAGAGUGAACCGGCAGCGCCAGGCGACGCGCGGCCGGUAAAA